Molecule: long non-coding RNA, 3410 nt
Organism: Apis mellifera (honey bee)
Lineage: Eukaryota; Metazoa; Arthropoda; Insecta; Hymenoptera; Apidae
Exons: 3
Source: RefSeq, a predicted model, not a curated record
UUUUUUUCGAAUAUUUCGUGACGAGUGGAAAAGAAAAAUAAAAAUUUGGAGAUAAUCCGUGUUGUAUAUAAGAGUUGGCGAUAAUAUCGGUGGAGAUAUUUUGUGAUAAAAAGGAGAGAGAGAGAGAGAGAGAGAAGCGAUAAGAGAGAGCGUGUAUAGGAUCGUUAUUUGAACGAUGACGAAGUUAUUAAAUAAAUAACUCGAAGCUUCGUAUCAGAGUUUUUCGAGUACGUUUUCCACGAAAUAUACUCGUUAAUGGAUUAAACGUUUUUCCAUAAGAUGUAUGAUUGAAAGAUCGAGAUUGGGAAUUGUAUCGGAAUGGGAAUCUAUCUGUUUCCCUUCACAAAUGUACUACGUGAUUGCUAUAACAUUUCGACGAAAAAGAUUCUUUAUAUAUCUAAUGAGGAAACAGAGAGAGAGAGAGAGAGUUUUUUUUAGUUUCUCAAAGUGUACAAAUUUUCUUACGAAAAGAAAUUAUUUUCCUGCAUCGUGAUACAGGAUAAGAAGUUACCUUCCAAUUUCACUGGAAAUAAGAUAAGAAAUAUAUCUCCGUCUCUUACGUAACCAUAAAAGAGUGGAAAAAGAGGGGAAGUGAGAAUUGGCGAAAAAUAUCAAAAAUAUUCCACGAUCGUGUGACCAUUUAUCAGACUCAUCGUAUUGGCGCGAAGAAUCGAGAAGGAAGAGCGGCCGGUGUUCGAAAGGUGGCCGUCGAUGGAAUUCGUGCAGAAUCCGUGGCCUCAUAAUCCUCCAUCGACGAGUUUAUGAAGAUAUUGCACGGAUGCAAAAGAAGGCGGUUGUAAAGGGAGCAAAAAUAUCUUGGCGAAGGGAACAAUGAAGAGAAAGAGAGAGAGAAAGAGAGAGAGAGAGGUCCGGAUCUCGUUAUCACAGAGAGGUUGCAGCCACAUCUUUCACACUUGGCUCGGUCGACAAUUGACCAGCGGCAAGAAUAAAGGAUGGAACAAGGCGACGUCAUUUCUGGCUUCGCAUUAAGGAUAGCUGAUGCAAGGCCAAGUGUCAAAGGACGUUGAAGAGUGGCGGAAGGGAUGGUGGGAGUGGAGGGUGAUUUUCGAGGGCCCGACGUAAUUGCCGGAGGGAUAGCGAGGGGAAGCGAGGCGAAACCCGUCCGAUUCGAGCGGGACGGAGCGAUCGAAGCGAGAGGAGGUCGAAAGAGGAGGAGGAGGAGGAGGAGGAGAGUGGAUUCGGCCGAGGGAGGCUGGAGCCCUCUCCCGGUUUCGGGAGGGGUUUGACGGCGAGGGGAUGACGGGCACGGAGGGGGAGGAUGGGAGGAAAGCCAUUCCAUCGCUGACAGAUGCAUUUGCCAAAGCGUUGCGGACGUUUCUGCCUCGUUCUACGUCGUCACGCGGCUUGUCGUUAUUAUAGCGCAUUUUUAUUUUUUAGCCGCUGUUACCCCUCCCCCCGCCCCGCGGAAAAUCCUAAUGCUACUCGUUUGGAAUAAUCGAGGAAUUUAUUUCGUGGACGUUUUCGUGAAAUAACGCGACGGAGAGAGAAAAAGAGAGAGAGAGAAAGAUUUCUUCUUUCUCUUUUUUCCUCGAGGAUAAUGUUUAAUAAAUGAUCUAGUAUUUUAACUUUACUAUUUUAUGAAUGAAAGUAAGGAGAGUAACCACGUGUUCGUAUGUAUGGAAAAGUUACAUUCUCUAAAUUACAUUCUCUUAAAUUUUUGUGUUACUUUAAUGUCCAGGUGAAAAAAAUGUUUAAACCACUUUGAGAAACGUUUCACACGCUGAUCGAUGGGAAAACUCGAACGAGCGAAACAUCUCGAUCGAGCAAAAUUUCAUUUUCGCAUCGCUGAUCAAAAACGUUCCACCUCCCCUUCCCGCUAGGCAAAAAAAUGUUCGUCGAAAAAGAAUUUUCUCGCGCGUAUUUUCACGCGCUCCGCUCGCUCGCACCGAUUAAUUAUCUGUUAAUUGCCACUAAUUAGGGGAAAUAAUGAGAUGGCGGAAGGCGGGUGACGGUGGUAAGCAAGCAGGUGGAGGGCAACAACAGGAGGAGAGACGGAAGCUGGUCAAAGCUGGAGCGGAGAAGGGUGAUUUAGUGAGGGAACAGCAGGCGGCGCCCGAUUAUUUUUGGUUUCACCGGUGGCGGCCAUUAUUUUUGGUCUGCCGCCCGGCCGCAGCUUCGACUCUCUUCUCCUCGCCCGGCCAGAAAUUCAUUCGUGGCCGAGCUCGAAGCGCGCAAAAAGCUCGCUGCACUUUGGCCGAAAGUUGAAACACGUGACGAUUUCGUAGAUUUCGUAGAAUUCUCCAACUGACAUCGUUCACCGAGACGAACUCGGGUCGGGUCGAGCAAUUUUCCUCGAAUACCGCGUCGAGCACGCUGGAAUGUUAUCGUUCGAAAUUGGGUCUCCGUGUUUUCGCGCUCGAGAAAUUUUAAUUUUAAUUUUGUCCACGCUUCGAUGCUUUCGAUCGAUUUUCCGGCGAUGGUGUCAAUUGCGUGUUUCAUUCAAACACGCCACGAUGUUGUUAGAAAGCGAAUCCGUAUUUCGAAUAUUGCACGAAAUUAAGCUCGUUUCCGAUAUUUUGAUCCGCUUCGAUCUGCUUUCCGUGUUAAAAAUCGUAUUGAAUUUUAUCGAAAAUUAACGCUGGACCAGAUCCGAAUUCGAACUCCAAGAAACGCGAUGCAUUCUUAAAAUAAAGAAACAAGUGUGAUGGAUGUAACAUAAGGAAUUAACACAUUCGUGAAAAAUCGAUAAAAGUCACGUAUACGUGAUCAAUCAUAAUUAUCAUUUCCCUCGUAUCUCUUCGCCUUUUUUUUUUCAAAGGCACGUGCCCCCUCCCCUCUCCCUUCGCGUUGAAGAGCGAAACACGGGAGGCGGAAAAAGGGGAGAAGGAGGAGCAGGAUUACGUUUCGAAGCUGAUAACUUAUGAAGUUGAAUGACAGACAGGAUAUCAGUGGCGCGGUGUAGAAGAACGGAGUUGCCGUUAGUUUGUGAAAAAUGAAAUAAAUGAUGGAGAAGCGAGGCCCUUGACUGGUACUCCUCCACCGGUACCGGCCCCGUCAGACGUUUUUAUUAAUUCCUCUCAGAUACAAUUAGUUGGUCUAUUCGUCAGACGCGUUUCAUUAAGUUCCCCUUUCCAUCCUUCUUCCAUCCUCUCCUUUCCGGACCUUUCUUUACCCCUUUCCUCUCUUCCUGUCUCGCGCGUUUCAUCCCUCUCCUCGAGGGAGAACGAAAACGGGCAACGGGGAAGAAGAAAGAAGAAAUUUCCCCCAGCUUCUCAACGCGAUACACGGGACAUGUAUUCCCGAGAAACGAUUAAUUUCCUAAUGGUGCCCCCUCCGUUUCCGGAAAUGAUAUUUGUUAACGAUCCAAUUUCGAAGAGCUCUUCCUAUUCGACACGAAAGACGGAAUGCAUUGAUAGAAUAUUCUAUCCUUAUAAAAAGUAUCGUGUAGA